RNAcentral lists this transfer-messenger RNA (359 nucleotides) under chicken gut metagenome. It matches the Rfam family "transfer-messenger RNA". From Rfam's summary of the family: Bacterial tmRNA, also known as 10Sa RNA or SsrA, is named for its dual tRNA and mRNA-like properties. Its role is to liberate the mRNA from a stalled ribosome. To accomplish this part of the tmRNA is used as a reading frame that ends in a translation stop signal. The record is from RNAcentral.
GGGGAUGUAUUUGGUUUCGACAGGGUUUUAGAAAUAUAAAUAGCGAGUAGUGGUGUGCAAGUUCCACUUAAAACAGGCACAUUUAAAUAUAAACGCUGAUAAUAACGAAGAAUUAGCAUACGCUGCCUAAGUUGCGGCGACGUCUUACUUUUGAAACCUACGACAAAAGAUAAGGCGACGAAUUAGUAGGAAACGAAGUUAACAAAUUCUCUUUUUGUUAAUGGGAUUUUUUAAGAGAUAUCUAAAAUAAAGUUUGUUUGUUAACGAUAUUUUAGAGAAUUUUAAAUAACAAACUGCACUCGGAGAAGUUUAUAUGGAAAAAAUUUUGGACGCGAGUUCAACUCUCGCCAUCUCCACCA